CCUACGGGCGGCAGCAGUGGGGAAUAUUGGACAAUGGGCGAAAGCCUGAUCCAGCCAUGCCGCGUGUGUGAAGAAGGCCUUCGGGUUGUAAAGCACUUUCAGUGGGGAAGAAAGCCUUGGGGCUAAUACCCUCGAGGAAGGACAUCACCCACAGAAGAAGCACCGGCUAACUCCGUGCCAGCAGCCGCGGUAAUACGGAGGGUGCGAGCGUUAAUCGGAAUUACUGGGCGUAAAGCGCGCGUAGGCGGUCUGAUAAGCCGGUUGUGAAAGCCCCGGGCUCAACCUGGGAACGGCAUCCGGAACGGGCAGGCUAGAGUGCAGUAGAGGAAGGUAGAAUUCCCGGUGUAGCGGUGAAAUGCGUAGAGAUCGGGAGGAAUACCAGUGGCGAAGGCGGCCUUCUGGACUGACACUGACGCUGAGGUGCGAAAGCGUGGGUAGCAAACAGGAUUAGAUACCCCUGUAGUC
RNAcentral lists this ribosomal RNA (465 nucleotides) under Vreelandella stevensii. RNAcentral's name for it is "partial 16S ribosomal RNA". It matches the Rfam family "Bacterial small subunit ribosomal RNA", at positions 338 to 795 of the family's 1533-position model. The record is from RNAcentral. Lineage: Bacteria; Pseudomonadati; Pseudomonadota; Gammaproteobacteria; Oceanospirillales; Halomonadaceae.